Molecule: unclassified non-coding RNA, 513 nt
Filed under: Hevea brasiliensis (rubber tree)
Lineage: Eukaryota; Viridiplantae; Streptophyta; Magnoliopsida; Malpighiales; Euphorbiaceae
Source: RNAcentral
AAGCCAUCAUCUCCUCUUCAGUUUCAAUAACCCUUCCAUCCCUCGCCAGAAUUUCCUCUUCUUUUCCAAGCGAACCCUAAGCUUCCUUUCCCUUUUGCAAAAGUACACUCCGAAGAGAAACAUGGUGAGCGAUGGUGAAUCAAAGAAAUGCGCAGAUACUAUCAAGUUCCUUUGUAGCUAUGGUGGUAAGAUUCUUCCACGACCCGUUGAUGGAAAGCUUCGUUACGUUGGUGGUCUUACCAGAAUUCUAGCCGUCGAUCGUUCUAUAUCCUUUACAGAGCUGAUGGUUAAGCUUGGAGAAUUUUGUGGAUAUUCUGUGGAAUUGAAGUGUCAGUUGCCGAAUGGAAAUUUGGAGAUGCUAAUUUCUAUCAAAUCCAAUGAGGAAUUGGCGCUUCUUAUUGAAGAAUAUGAUCGAUGCUGUCCUGGUUCGAAGAUUAGAGCCGUUCUCUCUCCUCCGAAGUCUCUCAAAACCGUCUCUCCUCCUCCGUCAACUCCUGCAAGUGUCGAUUUCUG